RNAcentral lists this ribosomal RNA (262 nucleotides) under uncultured bacterium. RNAcentral describes it as "partial 16S ribosomal RNA". It matches the Rfam family "Bacterial small subunit ribosomal RNA", at positions 333 to 586 of the family's 1533-position model. The record is from RNAcentral.
GAGCGCCUACGGGACGCAGCAGUAGGGAAUCUUCGGCAAUGGACGAAAGUCUGAUCGAGCAACGCCGCGUGAGUGAAGAAGGUUUUCGGAUCGUAAAACUCUGUUGGUAGAGAAGAACGUUGGUGAGAGUGGAAAGCUCAUCAAGUGACGGUAACUACCCAGAAAGGGACGGCUAACUACGUGCCAGCAGCCGCGGUAAUACGUAGGUCCCGAGCGUUGUCCGGAUUUAUUGGGCGUAAAGCGAGCGCAGGGGGUUUAUUAA